Molecule: ribosomal RNA, 506 nt
Filed under: uncultured bacterium
Lineage: Bacteria
Description: partial 16S ribosomal RNA
Rfam family: Bacterial small subunit ribosomal RNA
Source: RNAcentral
AGUGAACGCUGGCGGUAGGCCUAACACAUGCAAGUCGAGCGGCAGCACAGGAGAGCUUGCUCUCUGGGUGGCGAGUGGCGGACGGGUGAGGAAUACAUCGGAAUCUACUUUUUCGUGGGGGAUAACGUAGGGAAACUUACGCUAAUACCGCAUACGACCUACGGGUGAAAGCAGGGGAUCUUCGGACCUUGCGCGAUUGAAUGAGCCGAUGUCGGAUUAGCUAGUUGGCGGGGUAAAGGCCCACCAAGGCGACGAUCCGUAGCUGGUCUGAGAGGAUGAUAAGCCACACUGGAACUGAGAGACGGUCCAGACUCCUACGGGAGGCAGCAGUGGGGAAUAUUGGACAAUGGGCGCAAGCCUGAUCCAGCCAUACCGCGUGGGUGAAGAAGGCCUUCGGGUUGUAAAGCCCUUUUGUUGGGAAAGAAAUCCAGCUGGUUAAUACCCGGUUGGGAUGACGGUACCCAAAGAAUAAGCACCGGCUAACUUCGUGCCAGCAGCCGCGGUAA